This 450-nucleotide ribosomal RNA is filed under the name uncultured bacterium. Its description in RNAcentral is "bacterial SSU rRNA". It matches the Rfam family "Bacterial small subunit ribosomal RNA", at positions 10 to 507 of the family's 1533-position model. The record is from RNAcentral.
AGUUUGAUCCUGGCUCAGACGAACGCUGGCGGCAUGCCUAACACAUGCAAGUCGAACGAGACCUUCGGGUCUAGUGGCGCACGGGUGCGUAACGCGUGGGAACCUGCCUUUAGGUUCGGAAUAACUCAGAGAAAUUUGAGCUAAUACCGGAUAAUGUCUUCGGACCAAAGAUUUAUCGCCUUUAGAUGGGCCCGCGUAAGAUUAGCUAGUUGGUGGGGUAAAGGCCUACCAAGGCGACGAUCUUUAGCUGGUCUGAGAGGAUGAUCAGCCACACUGGGACUGAGACACGGCCCAGACUCCUACGGGAGGCAGCAGUGGGGAAUAUUGGACAAUGGGCGAAAGCCUGAUCCAGCAAUGCCGCGUGAGUGAUGAAGGCCUUAGGGUUGUAAAGCUCUUUUACCCGAGAUGAUAAUGACAGUAUCGGGAGAAUAAGCUCCGGCUAACUCCGUG